This 230-nucleotide ribosomal RNA is filed under the name Psychrobacter sp. DAB_AL32B. RNAcentral's name for it is "partial 16S ribosomal RNA". The stretch from base 51 to 230 matches the Rfam family "Bacterial small subunit ribosomal RNA", at positions 100 to 275 of the family's 1533-position model. Lineage: Bacteria; Pseudomonadati; Pseudomonadota; Gammaproteobacteria; Moraxellales; Moraxellaceae. The record is from RNAcentral.
AGGACGCACAGUUUAUACCGUAGCUUGCUACACCAUAGACUGUGAGUUGCGAACGGGUGGGUAACGCGUAGGUAACCUGCCUAUUAGAGGGGGAUAACUAUUGGAAACGAUAGCUAAUACCGCAUAACAGUAUGUAACACAUGUUAGAUGCUUGAAAGAUGCAAUUGCAUCGCUAGUAGAUGGACCUGCGUUGUAUUAGCUAGUAGGUAGGGUAAUGGCCUACCUAGGCG